AGAACACAAGGAGAUAUCACCUUCUCCACCGUCUUCACUCCAUCCCCAUGGAGGUCUUUCUUCAUCAUGCACAUUAGCUUUCGCGGAGUAGAUGGCUACAUUAGUAGCCCACAUCCACUGCGGGAGAGAGUCGUGCAGCUUAGGUGGACCUUCCUCAGUGUCAAGCUCUAGCAAAGGGCUGUACACAUCCUCUUCGCCACCACUCGGUGGUGAGAACACACUUCCUUGAAUGGGAAGCAAAGGUGUGAAAGAAUCAAGCUUCAACCUCCUUGAAUGCUUCCUGAUAAUCUCAUUCGCCGCCACAAGAGAAGCAUACCGUUGAAGCACUUCAGGAGCUCUUUACUUCUGAUCCCCAAUCCAAAAAGGGACGAAGAGGACAAAACGAGGUCCAACUUACACCUCUUGAACACUAUAUGACGUGAAUCAUAAUAAUAUUUAUAUAAUGAAGAACAUGUGUGGUUAUUGAAAUGGAUUUGGAUACAGAUGCCGCUGCCUCCAAGUGUAUACCAGAGACUGACGUCAAGCCCUCCUCUGAUGAAUCUUGCACAAGUUUUAGCCUACCACAGAGCGUACGUAUAUACUAGCCAAUUGAUCUCAUGUUUUUUGUUUUUGUUUUUGUUUACGUCUGACUAUGAAAACCAUUGAAUACGCAGGUGUUACGAGGAGAUGCCGCUGCAGGAGAUGCAAGCAAACAAACACAGCACCACCUAGAACACUGUUGAGACCAACCUCUCCUUUAUCCGAACCGACAAAAGCAGCUAUACUAGCAAACACAUCGGGAGCUCCGUUACCAAGGGGAAGCAGAGUGACGCCAGCGACCGUAGGAGGCAGCCUGAGAAGCUUAGAGAGCUUCUCAAGCGAAGGACAAAAGUAAUCAGCGGCGGUGUUACCUAGUAGAUAAAACAAAGCGACGAGCCAAACACCUAAUGCAAUAUAACCCAAGAUCUUGAAAUGUUGACACGUGCAGUAGAAGAAGCUGAGGUAGUCGUCAUAUUUUAGUCAUAUACUGUUGGUAUUAUCUAGGUUGUUUCAAUAAGUAUACAAAUUUGCUAAUUUGAGAGUGACUUUUUCAAGAAUUGAUAAAAAAUUAAAUGUUAGUUGGUUUUUUUUAAUCGUUUUCAUUUAAAUAUGUAAAAAAAUAAAUCGUUUUGUAAUCAAUCUGGUAGGCAAAUCUGCUAGAGAUUUAGUGUACAUGCUUUACUUUUCUUGUGUAAUAACAAAAAGAAACCCUAAACACUUUCAGCAAAAGAUGAGACUUUUAUUGUGACAAACUGUAUCGAAGGAGACAUGACGAGAUACCAAAGUCUGAUAGCAGCUGCUUUGUUGCGAGCUUCUCGCCGUUUAACCUCACCGGCCGUUUCCUCCGUUAGGAGAACCUUCUCUUCUUCCUCCUUACUUCCAAGGACAACGACAACCCUCACCACUCUUCCUCGCUCUUCUCCCUUGGCAAAGUUUUAUUUUUCAUCCUCCUCCUCCUCUUCUCCUCCUUCUGUUCCACCGCCGAAAGCGUCCCUUAAAAAUGGCCACGAAGAAGACACUUUUGAAUGUAAGAAGAAAGAUCAAACCUUCUCUUCUUAUUUGAUUGCGUCUUCCCUUUCUGGGUUUUAUGGUUUAUCGUUAUCCAGUGCCUCAUAGGUUUUGCCUUCCUCGUGUCUUCAAGGUGUUUGUUAAAAUGUUUCCUGCCCAAAGCUAUGUUCUUUUGUUUGGCCGUACGAGUGCUUCGCCUUUGACUAUGUGAAACCAUUCUAUUUCAAUGCUUUCGCAGUCACAGAAAUGUUUGAAAUCUCAUAUAACACUGCUUGUAUGCUUUAAAUCACAAAUCUUUCCACUGUUUCUUGAUGCGUUACAAUGGAGUUUGCAAAUUUUCGUCAUUGAUCCUCUAUGUUUCCUUGUCUUGUCCUCCUUACAAGCUAUGUCAUAAGCUUUACCACAUCCUUUGGCAGAUAAAACAACUGAGGAUGUAGAGGUCAUAGAUGAUUGGGAAGAAGAAGAAUAUGAAGUUGAAGCUAAGGUAAUUUCUCUUUCCCAUUCUUCUUCUUCUUAGAGAUUACGUUCUAGUUAAUUUUUGUUCUAUUUUACAGCUUGGCGAUGGAGGAGAUGGUGGUGGGGUUGUUCUUCGAGGUGUGCCAUGGGGUGAAAGAGUUCUCUCUAUUGCUUCCCAAGUUUUGAAGGAGUCUGAGAAAGAUCUGCAACUGUUUGCUUUCAGAACUUCUCCUCGUGGAUAUAUAUACAUCAGACUAGACAAACCCUCUCAUGAGUAAUUAUUAUCCUUCCCUUUUCCUAUAUAUAUAUAUAGCCAUCACGAAAGCAAUACGUUUCAGAAACUAGUGUAACCUAUGUGUUGGUGUAAACCAGAGCAUAUCGCAGUUGUAUCACCAGAGUAAGUUUCAAUCAUGUGCCUCCUACGAGGAGGAGGAGACCCAUCAACGAAAGAUUGAUUCUUUAGCAAAGGGUUCUUGUUAAAGAAGAAGAGGAAGAGGGUUAGAGCACAAAGGGCAUUGAAGAUCCCUCGGAAUCUGGGAUUGCUCGAGGUAUAGAGAUAAUUCACAGCUCUCAUUCUCGAAUCUGAGGGUUAUAUUCUAAUAAAUCGCCAUAAGAUCACCUAAACGAAUCUGAUUGUGAUCAGAGGAGAUUGGAGGUGCUUACCGGAGUUUAAUCAACGUGAUCUGUGUGAUCAGGAAGGCUUUUUUUUUCGGUGGAAUUCACAGGGAAAAGAGAAAGGAGAGAUCGGUGAUGAUUAUGGCUUGUGUCGGAUUAUUUACUUGCUUUAAUUCGGAUCUUGUUCGGGUUUGUUUGACCAGACAGUAUUAGUAAGCAAGCACCAUGUUGUUUCUUAUCUUUAAUGGGCCGGAAGGCCUAGAAUGGGCAAUAUGAGGCCUGCUAAAGAAACAUAGCCUAUGGAAAACCGGAAGGGGAUGAUGGUUAGUUCUGUUCGAGUUGUUUGGUCUUUGGAUGGCAUAAAUUGUGAUGAACUGAACUGAACUAAAUAAAAAUUCGAUUUGCAUUCGGUUGAUAUAUUCAACCAAAAAUUAAUCAAAGUUUUUGGGUAUGGUUUAAGAGAAAUUCUUUAGGAUAGACUUAUAAUUUUUUUUGUCGCAAAUAUAGAUUUUAAAAAUAAAAAAAGACUAAAAUAGACGUAAAUAUUUUAUCAAAAGAAGUAAAUAUACACUUAUACUUUUAGAGUUAGCUAAUCUAAACAUUAGAAUUUAGAGUCAAGUGGUGAAGUUUAGGGUUUAAAAUUUAGUGUUUAGAGUUGAGGAGUGGGGUUUUAGAGAUAAAAUUUCAAAUUUUAAAAUUAAUAAAUAAAUUAAAAUUUUAAAAUAAAAAAUAUUAUUUUGGUCAUUUUAGUUUUUAGAGUUUAUUUUUGUGACAAAAUUUUAAAAUAGUAUAUUCGAAAGAAUUGCCCAUAGUUUAAUACCGGCUAAAAUUUUAUAUAAUUUGGGCCUAAUUGGCCAUAUGAGGCCUGCUUUUAACGCGGAUUUUAAUUAGUAAUGUUUGGAGAGACACAUUGAGAAACUUAUAUAUAUUAUACACAUAUAGAUAUUGUGUGUGUACAUAUGUUUUAGUUUUGAGGUCAGUGACCUUUCAUGUGACAUGUGAAAUUUUAUGUAAAAUAACAUUUUCAUGGUCCAAGUAGUCCCAGAGGAUCUGGCCCUCGAGGUAUAAUAAUAAUAAUAGUCUUUCCCCAUGAAUCAGACAGCAACUUCUCUGGUCAUUUUGUUCAAAGAUUUGAUCAUGUAUUGGUGUUUACUGUGAAGGUAUCAUCUCCAGGAGCAGAGAGACUGCUGAAAGUUCCAGAGGACUUGCACCGAUUCAAGGAGAUGCCUAUGACAGUAAGCUACGAGGAGGAAACAAACUCGAGGAAAACAGUGAAGAGCACAGUGUUGCUCUUGGAGUCUGUAGAUGCAGAAUCAGAGAUAUGUAUUUGGAAACUAGCAGAUGUGAGGGAGAACAGAGAUCCCGAAAGCAAAGGCAGACCGUUGAGCCGGAAACAAAAGGACCUCAGAUUCAAACUGCCUUUCUCAGUUCACAGGAUGAUAACUCUCUACUUGGAUUAGUUGAUUAGAUGCUGAAUCAGAAGUAGAGUUGCUAGAAAGGCAAGUUUUUUUUGCCAGUUUUCUAUUUCAAGAAAAAACGAUGUUUAUUCUGAUGUUUCUUAUAUGGUCAUGCACGUUAGAGGAGAUCCAUGUACUAUGGCAAACCAAAGAUAAAUUGCAGCGCAAUGAUGUAUGCAAUGAUGUUGCUUCAGAGCUUUAUUUGACAGAAAAGAUGCAAAAAUCUCUUGGAAUCCAACUAGGAGGAUUACGACCCAGGAACACAUGUCUAGGUUACUUAUGACUAAGCUUGGUAAAUCUCUUCUAUAAAUAGACACUUCUGAUCACCAUUAAAAAAAGAUACAUUCACAUAUAUGAAAAUGUAAGAAGAUAAACUCCGACAAGCUUUUAUAUAACCUACACACUUAUUCUUCUAACAAAAUAUUUUUAGAUUUUUAUAGAGUUUCGACGGUAUAUCGUAGAUGUUGAAUUUGUAGAUUCUCUUUUGGCUGAUACAAAACAGUCUUAUAUGGUUUUAACCUAUGACUCAAAAAUCAUAAAUAAACCGUUUCUAAUAUGAGAUAUUUUAUUAAGUUAAAGAAAGAUAUCAUAUCUCGACUCUACGUAUUCGUCUAUUUAUUUAAUGGUUUUCGAUCUAUUUACUGUCUUAUAUUUUCGUUUUAACUCGUUUUGUUUGGUAAUUUUCAUUAUGGAUUUUCGUAACCUAAACUUAAAAUGAACAACAACAAGAGUAACAAGAUUUAUAAAAAAUCAUCACAUUCGACUACACGAUGCAUUGUGACGCAAAAGCGAAUAAGUGAAUGAAAAAGUUGAGGCCUCAAAAUCAAACUCAACUAGAUGAUUGUCCAUUUGAUAUCCUCCUAUCUCAAUCGGAAAUCUCGGAUCAUUUCUAGCAUCAACAAACGCUAAACACAUAAUGGUCUUGUUCACCAUUACCAGUGCCGGUCUGGAGUUUUGGAAGACCGGAAGCGAAAGAAAAAAAUGGGCUGCUUUCCGUAUGAUCAAUUAAAAGAGUUUGAAUAUUAAAAAAAAAUCAGUGUCAGAAAAUAUAUAUUCAAAUACUAAAAAGAUAAAAAUACAUUAGUUUUCAAAAAUAAUUCUUCGCACAUUCUUAUUAGCAAAAUCAUUCACUAAAUUUGUGUUGUCCAUUCUUGUAGUCAUGAUUCUCCUUUUAAUCGAUAUGACUGUCAAACCAUUUAAUUUUCACUACUUUAUUAAUAUGUUUCUCUACAGAUUCAUCAAGUGUAGAAGGUACCUUAACAUGGAAUCAGCCUUUGAAUUUGUUAGAGUUUGUUCUCUUCUUUUCUCUUAUUUUUGUGCAUCUCUCUUCUUCUUUUUUAUUCUUUUUGAAGACACUAAGUUACAAAAAGGUGUUUGUAAAUUAAUAAAUACAUUGUUAUGCAAAGUAAGAUACAACGAACGAAAAAUAACACGUAAAUAUGACUAUAUUUGGUUAAUAUUUAAUAAAUCUGGCUGCAUUGAUGAUGAUGAUGGAAAUUUUUUGAAACUCAACUUGGAGAAAUCAAUGAUUAAGAGGAAGAUGAGUUUGAUUUGGAAUAGAAUAAUAGGAAAUUUAGAUUGAUGCUAAAUAAUUAGAGACGCAUCACUAAUAGGAGGAAGAAGAUGACAUGCCUAAUGAUAAUGAAGACUACAUCAAUUAAGUUUUAAUUUGUGUUCUUUUUUUUUCUUUUAUUCUACUGCAUUAGAUAAUUUAUUUAUUUCCUUUAUCAUUAGCUUCCUUAUCAAAAAUAUUUUUAUUUCCUUAUUUAUAGAAAAGCAUUAAAAAUAUACUUCACACAAAUGAACUGAUCGUUAAUAACCAAAAUAAAAAAAUACAUAUGCGAGGGGGUUGAACCCAGCCUUGGUCCAAGAAAAUGUUAGAAGCAAUCGGUUGAAAACCCAAAAAAAAAGAGAAUACCUAUGAUUUGACUGAUUUGUGUCUAUGGAAUAAGGUAGAAGAUUGUGGGAUUUAGGAUAUGAGGCUAAUUAGUAUAGAAGUGUAGUGUAGGGAGUGCAAUUUCCCAAAAUGUUAAAGUGCACUUACCCAUAGCCGCUGCACCAAGGCCACCUAACAAGACUUACAGCCGAAAAUAAUUUAAGAAUCUGAGGGCCGGACGCCGUUGCUUCUACCGCUUCCCCUCAGGGCCGGUACUGCCAUUACAAGCGAGUUUGUUCCGUAGAUAUCCCACUUGGCUCCUCCUCCCAAAACAAAACUGAUCACCGGAGUCUUCUUUCCAAGCAAAGACUUUCCUCCAAAACUUUUGUAACUAAAGCAAUCACGGAAGGGAUACACGGCUUUACGCUGAGCCUUCCUGACGAAGGCUUUAACAAGAGCUCUGUAGAUGGAAGUCUACAAGAGAGUGUAUGGAAUUAUGCUGCUGAUCUUUGUGCCUCCCCAAUGAGUCGUUUUGUUAAAAGUCAGGAGAGUUUCUUUCCGUUGACUUCGAUAGAUUUCACAUCUAUGUAAUAGUUAUCCACCCCGUUCUCCGGGAUUGAGACAAGAGGAGUGGAGACUAAUAACCCUUGACAUCUCUAUGGUUCAGCGGCAGCAAAUAUGGGCUGCCGCCUAUGUAAACACUCCCGGAAAUAUUUUCAGGCUUAGAAGAUAAACAUAGAGCUACUUUGAAGGGUAUCUUGUAAGAAGACUCGAGGCUUUUAACAAAAGACAUAGAGCUAUCAGCCAGCCCAAGAAUACUGUUAGCACCAUUUGGAAGAUCUGAACAGCCAGAGUCCUCAAAGACAUCUACGCAAGCGAGACGCGUCCUCACUGCGAGUUUGGGAGCUAAGUAAGCUGACGGUGACAUAUAGCUUAUGAUCACAUCGUAGUUGAGUGGAUAACUGAUGUUGCUGGUGAAGGCUAAGUCUGAAUCGACUUUAGAGAUACAUGUGUCAUUUCUGCAGGUAGGCCAAAGGGAGCGCUAGAACAAGUGGUGCAUCGAUCUUUAGUUUGUGCGCAGCCAGGGGACCUACAUAGGAUAGGGGUAUAGGUGGUUGAGUUAUAGCCGAUCCUGUCGCAUUGGAAAACUAAGGCUGAGCCACCAAGUUCUACGACUAGUUUAACGACAAGUGGUGGCUGGCCGACAGUCAUGUUGGUUUUGUUGUCUUUGAAGAUCUGAAUUACAAAAGUACGAGGUUUUGACUUUGGGUUAUGUUCAGUCAGAGACGUGGUGUUUGCCACUAAAACAAACAAAGGGGGUGAUUGGUUAGGCAGCAACUAUAUAAAAUUUACUUAAGAAUUUUAGAAUUUUAGAAUUUUUUGAUUUAACUUUAAGAAAUACUAGAUCUUGACCCGCGCCCCCGCGCGGGUGUUGGAUUUAACUUGCGUUCAACGUAAAUUUAUAAACCAUUUUUUAUAAAAUGUCCAUUUAUAUUUUUGUGUUUUGUAAAAUAUAUUUAGAGUAGAAUAUAUUAUAUUAUAAUAUAGAUGUUUGAUAAUAAUUUUUUAUCUGUACGUAAUAUUAUAUUUAUAAUUUUAUAACUUGAUGCAAUUUGAUGUAAUUGUAAUAUUCAUAUAUUAACCUAUUGAUUUUUUGUUUAUUUAUUUAAAAAUGAUUUAAUUUUUUACAGUAAGUUUUUAUUUUAAAAUUUCCUACCGUUAGAAAAAAUGAAGCAUUUUUGUUUUUGUUUUUUUGCUGUAGCUUUAUUUGUUUGGUUGUAGCUUUAAAAAAACAUUAUUAGCAGUUUUUAAAGUUGUAGAUGAAAAUUAAAGUUAAAGUCACCUUUUAGUCUUUUACAAUCCAAUCAAUCACUCCUAAGAUGUUUAGAAAAAUGAAACGACAUUUUUAUUAUUAAGGUGUGAGUUAUGUAUCUUUGAUACUGAUUAGGCAUUUAUGUAGAGAUACAAAGUUGAAUCAGGUGUAUUAUUUAUUUGAUUAAGAGGUGAUUAUAAAAACCUGGCAGAAAGUAGAUAAAAUAUGCAAGCAUGUGACUUUGUGAGGAAGACUGAAGUGAAGAUUCGUUGGUUUGCUUUGGAUCCUUAUGCACCCUAGUACAUAAUUAUUAGAGCAUCUUUAUCCAAGGACACUAGAGGGGUUCUUAGCGUGUGGGUCCCGCGUAGGACCCAUUUUUUUUAAGAAACCAGUUACCAAAACUACCAAAUAGUAGUCGGUCUUUAAGGGGUUUUUACAGUGUUCGCGGGUCCCAUUGACAUGUGGCGGCUCACGAUUAGUUCGUUUUUAUUUUUUUUUUCUUUUAAAUUCGAAAAAGUAAAAAAAAAAUUAAAAAAAAAUUAAGAAAUAAUGAUGCUCUUAAAAUAGCAAUUUUACCAAAAUUUUUUUAUUAAAAUAGCAUGUGCAUAUAACUAAUGAGUAACGUCACUUUAUAUAAAAACUACGGACUUUCCGAGGAUGCCUCUCGAAAAUGAAGUGUAGAUCACUAGCGAGUAACGGUUGUACCGUGAUGAGUAAACUUAAUAAGAUUUGAAAAAAUAGAACAUUAUGUAUUGAACCAGAACUAAAUAGAGAUCUUUAUCAUAUGAUAAUUUGGUAUAUCUGAAGAUUUAGAAUAAUAAAUUCUUUAGGAGGAUUGACGUGGAUCCUUUGGAAUUAGUCCGAUGUGCAGAAAAUGGAAGGCGAACCUGGUUUAGUACAAAUGAGAUGGCCAUUCCUGAUCUACAAAUACUUAAUAGUGAGGACGUCCAGAUCAUAAGCCUAGAUAACAUCUGCAUGGUGGAUGGUUCAUGGAUUGCCACAACACUGUUGGGUCUGAAAGGACAGUUUUGAAAAAUUCAGCUCAUGGGAACGCGAAACUUACGGAGGCGAGAGAUUGCUUUACAUUCUGAAGUAGAAGCAAUGUGAUGGGCAAUGGAUAAUAGGCUACAACAUUCACCAUGUCAGCACUUUGGGACAUACUGCAAAGAUCUGAUCGCGAUGAUAAAGGAACCUCAAGCUUAGUCAAGCUUUGCAACAGAAUUGGAGGCUAUUAAGACACUGCAAAUAUGUUUUCCAGACUUCACAAUAUCUCAUAUCCUAAAGGUGAAUUUCAGAUUCUUUAGCAAAGUCUGUGAGAUCUUUUCAUAAGGAGUUUUAUUACAUUAGUUGUUCUAUUCCAGUUUAGUUACACAUAUCACUUCAAUUUUGAGUAAUAGAAUGACCUUUUGUUGUCAAAGAAAAAUGAUUGCCAAAAUCUUUCCUUUUCUCUUUUUGAUUUUUAAUAUAGAAGCAAGUACAAGAAGCAAAUCAACAACGAAGCCACACACCACUCCUAUUAUAUGUUAUGGGGGGAAAAGAUAGAAGAAGACUCCAUGAACUGGUUCAGGCCAUGGAAGCAUCACAAACGUGGAUUCUUGAUAGCCUGGCAAAAUUGUUGCAUGGGUGUUCGAAGAAGCCGUUGUCGAGUACAGAUUGCAGCAAAGUAGGGAAUUUUUUUUUUGUAACACAAGGAGAAUCUGCUUUAAGGUUCCAUGUCGAAAUGUAAAGUUCAGUUUCCCCCACGGCUUUCACACACAAAGAGCAGCAUGAGUACACAUGUCGUCCCUGCCCUUUUAGCGGUUGCAAUUUCACUGGAUCUUAGCAUGAACUAUAUGCCAACGCCAAUGCUGUCCAGUUUGAGGGCUAGCAUAUGAUUGAAUGUUGAACUAUAAGGUCUAUAUGCUUUACUAAUCAUCAUUUCACUACAAGAAAACAGCGAUAUUCUGACGGACAUUCCGACGGAAAAUGAAAUCCUCGGAAUAUACCGAGGAAUUUCCGAAGAAAUUCCGAGGAAACACAAAAUUGGGUUUCCUCGGAAUUUCCUCGGAAUAUACCGACGGAAUUCCGAGGAAACUACAGUCCGUCGGAAUAUUCCGAGGAAAUUCCGAGGAAAACUCUGUUCCUCGGAAAAAACCGAUGAAUUCCGAGGAAAUAUUAUAGCCGUUGGAGAGCCGUUGGGGGAUUUUACAAAAUUCCGAGGAAAUUCCGACGAACUAGUUUUGUCCGUCGGAAUUCCGUCGGAAUUUCCUCGGUAUGUCGGCAGGAUUUAAACUAUAAAUACAAGCACUCCUCUUCCUCUUCAUUCACUUCAUAUCUUCAUCCUCCCUCUUACUCUAUUUACACACGAAUUUGAUUCAUAAAAAAUAUGUCUUCUUCAAAUUAUUUUCGUUCUUGGAUCGAUCGACCUCAUUUGGAUCCGAACACGAGAUUGCUUACGGAAGAAUACCAACGAGGUAUAACUGAAUUCAUGGGGUUAGUUCACCGACAACCGGAAGCAAAAACAGGUAUGUUAAGAUGUCCUUGCUCUAAUUGUAAAAAUAGAAAGGUUAUUAAAGAGUGGGAUGUUUGGACUCAUCUAUAUUUGAGUGGGUUUACACGAAGUUACAAAAUUUGGUAUCAUCAUGGGGAAACUGAUUAUGAACAUGGUAGUACUAGCGAACCUCAGCCAGCGGUUAGAUUAGAAGAACCAAUUAGAACGGAUGUAGAUUAUGGUGUAGGUACUGAGCAGAUGGUAAAUGAUCAUUUUAGAGGGGAAGAUUUACCCAAUGCAACUAGGCGAAUCCAGAUAAAAUAAUAUUAUCAAAGCCCAAUUCGGUAAGGAGCAAUCCUUAGACAAGGAGUUUAAGGAUCAAGUCCUUAGUGACGUGGUCGCGUCUCAUUGGAUGGAGGAAAAUAUGUAUAUAUGGAGGUAAUGGAGAUGAUGACAAUUUCCCCAGAUGAUCGAAUCUGAUUAUACUGAGCGAAUAGAACUUCCUCCCAUCAGAGGACAGUCAAGCCAAUUAGUCUGAUCCUUCUCCCUUUUUAUUUGAUUUUAAUUACAUUAACUAUGUUGGUGCAUUAUAAUAAAGUUUUUUAAACAUUUAACUUAAGGAGAAUUGGAGGUGAUGACAAUUUCCCCAGAUGAUCGAAUUUGAUUAUACUGAGCGAUUUUAUAUUUCCUCUCAUCAGAGGAAAUCAAGCCUAUUUUCUGAUCCUUUCUCUUUUUUUUUUUUUUCACUCUGAUCCUUUCUCCUUAAGUUUAGUUUUUGCUUUCUAAAGCUUUGAUAAUUGGUCUGUUAUGUUUUGUAAUGGUGGCAAUGGAGUUAUGGAGGUGAUGACAAUUUCCCCAAAUGAUCGGAUCUGAUUAUACUGAGCGAUUUUAUGUUUUCUCAUCAGAAAACCAAGCCAAUAUUCUGAUCCUUUCUCCCGCAUUUUUUUUUAUAUUAAGACAUCUCCAACUCUACUCCAUUUUCAACUCCAAACAUCAUUAUGGAGUAAAAUUUUCUCCAACCCCACUCCAUUUUUAACUCCAAAAUGGAGUAAUGGCUAGGGUUACUCCAUUUAUGGAGUAAUCUUACUCAUUACUCCAUUUUGGAGUUGAACUUUUUUUAUUUAUAAAAUGGUCAUUUGAAUCUUUAAUGUUUUUAUUUCUUACUUAAAUAAUAUUUAAAAUGAUACAAUAACAUGAAAAUAGUAUAUUCCACAAAGAAUUAUUUAAUAAUUUUAAAUAAAUGCAUAAAAUAACAGAAAACAUAAAUAAUUAAAGAUAAAGCUCCACCUCCGGAUAUCAAAAUUGCAGAAGAUGAAAAGUCCGAUUUCAAAAUUUUCUUGCUCGAUUUAGGAAUAUCAAAGAUAAAGAAGCUCAUUUUUCAUUACGAAAUGCAUUAGUUGAUCAUUUGUGGAAACAAUAUUGUAAUGCUCAUUGUUGAACCCACAUAUAUUAUGUUUUUUUAAUGAUUUCUUGUACUUUUUAAUAAUAAAUUUAAUUCAAAUCAUUUAUAUUUUAAUUAUUUAUCGUAAACAUAAAAUAAUUGGGGUUAAUUGGUAAAUUUUUAUAAGUAUAAGAUUUUAUUUGUAAUUAUUAAUAAAAUAAAAAUGAAAUCAUUUAAAAAAUAUUAUUUUUAGAGUAGAAAAUGGAGUAAUACAUUGGAGUAAAACCUUACUUUAUUUUGGUGUUGCACUAUUUUGGAAUAAAAAAUGGGGUAAUACAUUGGAGAUGCUCUUAGGAGUUCACUGCACUGAACCCGGAUUUAUCACUAUAACGCGGAUCCCACGGCACAUGACGGCCCGCGAUUAGUCCGAUUAAUUAAUUUUUUUUUUAAAACAAAAAUCAAACUAGAAAAAAAAUAAUAAAAAAAUACUUUGUGAACUGAUGCAGAUGCUCUAAAGUAGUACAAAGUGACUGAUAACAGAACAAGUGGUUCAACGUUAUUGAGUCCAUAAAGUCGACCCAAUAACAUAAGGUAUCACUACCUAAGAGCAUCUGCAUCAGUGAAUUCCAUGGAAAGUUUAUACAAUUUUUGAAAAAAAUAAUAUUAAAAUAAGUAAAAGAAAUGAACCUGUCUCUUAGGGCAUCUCCAAUCCUACUCCAUUUUCAACUCCACACAUCAUUAUGGAGUAAAAUCUUCUCUAACCCCACUUCAUUUUCAAUUCCAAAAUGGAGUAAUGGUUAGGGUUAUUCCAUUUAUGGAAUAAUCUUACUCAUUACUCCAUUUUGGAGUUGAACUUUUUUUAUUUAUAAAAUGGUCAUUUGAAUCUUUAAUGUUUUUAUUUCUUACUUAAAUAAUAUUUAAAAUGAUACAAUAACAUGAAAAUAGUAUAUUCCACAAAGAAUUAUUUAAUAAUUUUAAAUAAAUGCAUAAAAUAACAGAAAACAUAAAUAAUUAAAGAUAAAGCUCCACCUCCGGAUAUCAAAAUUGCAGAAGAUGAAAAGUCCGAUUUCAAAAUUUUCUUGCUCGAUUUAGGAAUAUCAAAGAUAAAGAAGCUCAUUUUUCAUUACGAAAUGCAUUAGUUGAUCAUUUGUGGAAACAAUAUUGUAAUGCUCAUUGUUGAACCCACAUAUAUUAUGUUUUUUUAAUGAUUUCUUGUACUUUUUAAUAAUAAAUUUAAUUCAAAUCAUUUAUAUUUUAAUUAUUUAUCGUAAACAUAAAAUAAUUGGGGUUAAUUGGUAAAUUUUUAUAAGUAUAAGAUUUUAUUUGUAAUUAUUAAUAAAAUAAAAAUGAAAUCAUUUAAAAAAUAUUAUUUUUAGAGUAGAAAAUGGAGUAAUACAUUGGAGUAAAACCUUACUUUAUUUUGGUGUUGCACUAUUUUGGAAUAAAAAAUGGGGUAAUACAUUGGAGAUGCUCUUAGGAGUUCACUGCACUGAACCCGGAUUUAUCACUAUAACGCGGAUCCCACGGCACAUGACGGCCCGCGAUUAGUCCGAUUAAUUAAUUUUUUUUUUAAAACAAAAAUCAAACUAGAAAAAAAAUAAUAAAAAAAUACUUUGUGAACUGAUGCAGAUGCUCUAAAGUAGUACAAAGUGACUGAUAACAGAACAAGUGGUUCAACGUUAUUGAGUCCAUAAAGUCGACCCAAUAAGACAAGUCCAAUAUAUCAGAUUCAUUAUCAGUUACAUCAACAUAAUACAACAAACAAGAUUUUAUUCAGAACCAGUGUGGCUUCUCUAACUAAAUGAUCUGUAUACAAUAAGCUCUGAUUAUAAUUUCAAUCAUACCUUACAAAUUUCGAAGCUCGUUACAAUGGCGUCUUUUAAGCAGCCCAAGGAAUGAACCCCAUGGCAGAGCUAAGUCUGAAAGUGACGAAUAUCAGAUACAGUGCGAUCAGACCAAUCCCCAUCACCUUGUUCGGUCGCAUCUCAUUCCGUGGGAGCAUUACAAGAGCCCAAAGCAACCCUAAUAUCAGAAACCCUAGCGUGUAGAACAAGCUAUUAUCCUCAGGGAUAAUGUAACUCUCUGGACGCUUGGACCAAGCACCAAGAAGCAUCGACACACCUAACCCAACAAGUGUGUUGAACAUAGGACCUGCGUAGCAACCAGACAACGCGAUCUGCACCCCAUCUCCACCGUUCAUCGACAAGGCUAUGUUAGAGACCAAGUCACCCAUUGAGUUCCCCCAAGCGAGUACGGUUAGACCAAGUAUCGACGGGUUGAUUCCGUAGAUCCCACCGAAUGUCACAAGAAGAGCAACGAGCUCGUUUGCUAUCAUGUAGAACCAUACAAUGCUCAUGAUGAAUCCACCGAGCACCCAAGGGAUUAAGUAUCUCUGUGGUGGACGGUCGUGUUCUGUGUUUCUAUACGCAAGAAAGCCGAGGAUGGAUCCUACUGCAAUACCGAUAAAGUAGGCUUGAAGACUGCUCCAGAGGAAAGCAAGAAGGAGAGGAGCUAGCGAGACGCUAGCUACAGCGUAUGUCUUUGACCAGCUAUCUUCCUCGAUCAACGGGAUUGUUAACCGUCUAGGAACUGUAAGCGGAGUCUCCAAGAAGUAUGUAAUCUUAGAACACAAGGAGAUAUCACCUUCUCCACCGUCUUCACUCCAUCCCCAUGGAGGUCUUUCUUCAUCAUGCACAUUAGCUUUCGCGGAGUAGAUGGCUACAUUAGUAGCCCACAUCCACUGCGGUAGAGAGUCGUGCAGCUUAGGUGGACCUUCCUCAGUGUCAAGCUCUAGCAAAGGGCUGUACACAUCCUCUUCACCACCACUCGGUGGUGAGAACACGCUUCCUUGAAUGGGAAGCAAAGGUGUAAAGGAGUCCAGCUUCAACCUCUUCGAAUGCUUCCUGAUAAUCUCAUUCGCCGCCACAAGAGAAGCAUACAGAACAUAGAUGGAAACAAACGCUGCGGCGAUACCUACACUCACUCUCCCCACAGUCAAAAUCACCAACAAAG
This 14607-nucleotide long non-coding RNA is filed under the name Brassica napus (rape). RNAcentral describes it as "long non-coding RNA (BNAP_LNC006492)". The stretch from base 11049 to 11145 matches the Rfam family "Small nucleolar RNA Z103". Lineage: Eukaryota; Viridiplantae; Streptophyta; Magnoliopsida; Brassicales; Brassicaceae. The record is from RNAcentral.